CAAGCUCAGGAAAUCUGUCUAAAGAAAACAAUGCCAUUUAGGUUAACUGCUCUUCUCUUUCAGAGACACAAUCAAAACUUCAGACACCAUCUCACAAACUUGUAGGAGAAAACAAAAAGCUGGAAGCUACUAAGAAACAUCUCUCGUCCCUCUGAAGUACUAGUUUCGGCUACUGCCAGAAACUGCUUGCUGGUUUGCUUACAUGAAUUUGAGUUCACAGUAAUGGUUCCUUCUAGUUGCCUUCCGUUUCUGACCCAGCCCACUGGUGGCCUCAGGAAGUCCUGUGCCAGCCCUGCAGUCCGGAGGAGGGGAGAAGUACAGGCCAGAAGUGACAUUUCAGAGGUCACUGGUGAGCAGGGCACAGGGAUGCCACAAAGACUGUCACAGCCAUAUCUGCACUGCUUGUGGAUGGGAGGGAGUUACAUGAGAAUUCUGUUUUGGCAGCAAGGCAGACUUUAAAAAGCACCAUCCUUGCUUACCUUCACCUAGUUAUUAAUGUCUCUUGGCAUGUUUUUCCAGAAGGUUAUUUUUAGCCUGGAUUUCUUCCCCAAACUGUGCCACACAGUGAAAUAAUAAACACUUAAACCAAUGCUGAACCCAAACACAAGAAAGGAACAAAUAUUCACCUUUCUAACUAGCCCCAUUAAAAAAAAAUACAAAAAAAGAAACAACUUACCUGUACUACACCUCACUACCACAGUUCAGGCAGAAGCUUAAAU
Tympanuchus pallidicinctus (lesser prairie-chicken) is the source of this 719-nucleotide long non-coding RNA. RefSeq lists it as uncharacterized. NCBI's taxonomy places the organism in Eukaryota, Metazoa, Chordata, Aves, Galliformes, Phasianidae. The transcript has 3 exons. The record is from RefSeq and is a predicted model, not a curated record.